RNAcentral lists this ribosomal RNA (326 nucleotides) under Desulfovibrio sp. RNAcentral describes it as "bacterial SSU rRNA". It matches the Rfam family "Bacterial small subunit ribosomal RNA", at positions 31 to 348 of the family's 1533-position model. Lineage: Bacteria; Pseudomonadati; Thermodesulfobacteriota; Desulfovibrionia; Desulfovibrionales; Desulfovibrionaceae. The record is from RNAcentral.
GAACGCUGGCGGCGUGCCUAACACAUGCAAGUCGUGCGUGAAAGGGCUUCGGCCUGAGUAAAGCGGCGCACGGGUGAGUAACGCGUGGAUGAUCUGCCCAUGAGUUGGGAAUAACGGCUGGAAACGGUCGCUAAUACCGAAUACGCUCCGAUUUCGAAUUUCGGGGGAAAGGUGGCCUCUGCUUGCAAGCUACCGCUCAUGGAUGAGUCCGCGUCCCAUUAGCUAGUUGGCGGGGUAAUGGCCCACCAAGGCGACGAUGGGUAGCCGACCUGAGAGGGUGAUCGGCCACACUGGGACUGGAACACGGCCCAGACUCCUACGGGAGG